This 103-nucleotide microRNA precursor is filed under the name Marmota monax (woodchuck). Lineage: Eukaryota; Metazoa; Chordata; Mammalia; Rodentia; Sciuridae. The record is from RNAcentral.
AAUAGAAUUACUUGGUCAUGUAGUAAUUUUACAUUUAACAUUUUAAGAAACUGCCAAACUAUUUUCAAAAGUGGGUUCACCAUUUUACCUUCCCAUCAGCAAU